CCCCGCACAAGCAGCGGAGCGUGUGGUUUAAUUCGAUGCUACACGAAGAACCUUACCAGGGUUUGACAUGCAAGUGGUAGGAAACCGAAAGGCGACCGACCCUUCGGGGAGCUUGCACAGGUGCUGCAUGGCUGUCGUCAGCUCGUGUCGUGAGAUGUUCGGUUAAGUCCGCUAACGAGCGCAACCCUCGCUGUGUGUUACAAGUGUCACGACGGUACUGCCGGGUCUUAAGCCGGAGGAAGGUGGGGAUGACGUCAAGUCAGCAUGGCCUUUAUGUCCUGGGCUACACACACGCUACAAUGGCCAACACAAUAGGUUGCUAAGCCGCGAGGUGGAGCCAAUCCUCAAAGUUGGUCUCAGUUCAGAUUGCAGGCUGCAACCCGCCUGCAUGAAGGUGGAGUUGCUAGUAACCGCAGGUCAGCUAUACUGCGGUGAAUACGUUCCCGGGGCUU
Molecule: ribosomal RNA, 452 nt
Filed under: uncultured Leptolinea sp.
Lineage: Bacteria; Bacillati; Chloroflexota; Anaerolineae; Anaerolineales; Anaerolineaceae
Description: bacterial SSU rRNA
Rfam family: Bacterial small subunit ribosomal RNA
Source: RNAcentral